UCACAGCGGUGACCCGAAGAGACAGCCUGA
Molecule: non-coding RNA, 30 nt
Filed under: Homo sapiens (human)
Lineage: Eukaryota; Metazoa; Chordata; Mammalia; Primates; Hominidae
Source: RNAcentral